ACCACUCUUAUGGUACUUUAGAAUGCCUCAAAUAGGACCUCUACUUUGGCUAAAUCUCUUUCUUAUAUUCACCCUUGGGUAUAUCUUAUUCUUUAUCAUUAAUUUCUUCUGUAAACUUCCAAUUAAAACAGAAACUUUCACCCACACAUCAACAAUUCUAGAAAAACCCUGAAAAUGAUAGCAAGACUGUUUUCCAUUUUUGAACCAUCCUCAUGUAUCCUUUCACUUAACCUAAACUGAGUCUCAACAUUCUUAGGGUUCCUAUUCGUUCCGAUUCUCUUCUGAACCUCCCCAUCCCGGUGACUUUAUCUGUGAUUUAAAAUUGUAUCAACCCUUCACAAUGAAUUUAAGACAAUCUUAGGACCCUCUAACCCAGGCCUAUCAUUUUUAUUUGUUUCAUUAUUUAGCUUCAUUCUUUUUAAUAACUCUUUAGGCCUCCUUCCUUAUAUCUUUACCAGAUCCAGACAUCUGGCAAUAACUCUAACCUUAGCUCUACCUUUAUGGCUAACCUUUAUUUUGUUUGGAUGGUUAAACCACACCCAGCACAUGUUUGCCCACUUAGUGCCUCAAGGGACCCCAAAUACGCUUAUACCUUUUAUAGUCCUCAUCGAAACUAUUAGGAAUAUUAUUCGACCAGGCACAUUGGCCAUCCGACUUGCAGCAAACAUAAUUGCAGGUCACCUCCUCCUUACUUUACUUGGAAGGAUAGGGUCCUCUUUAUCCCCUAAGCUAUUAAUUUUUCUCAUUCUGGCCCAAAUUCUUCUCCUUAUACUAGAAUCUGCUGUUGCAAUCAUCCAAUCCUAUGUAUUUGCAGUUCUCAGAACUCUUUAUGCCAGUGAAGUAAAUUAAUGUCAUCACAUAGCCACCAUGCCUUUCAUUUAGUUGACAUAAGACCUUGACCCUUAACCGGAUCAAUUAGAGCUAUGCUUUUAACAUCAGGGCUCAUCAAAUGAUUUCAUCAAUUUAAUCCAGACCUCCUCUUUUUCAGAUUUAUUCCUAUCUUUUUAACUAUAAUUCAAUGGUGACGAGAUGUAACUCGAGAGGGAACAUAUCAAGGACUUCAUACCCAAGCCGUCACAAAAGGCCUCCGGUGGGGAAUAAUUUUAUUUAUCGUCUCUGAAGUACUAUUUUUCUUCUCAUUUUUUUGGGCAUUCUUUCAUAGAAGUCUUGCACCUACAAUUGAAAUCGGAAUAUUUUGACCACCUAGAGGUAUUCAACCUUUCAAUCCUUUCCAAGUUCCCCUUCUUAAUACAACUAUUCUACUUUCAUCGGGAGCAACAGUAACUUGAACACAUCACGCAAUCCUUAACUCACACCAUUACGAAGCUAUACAAAGUCUAGGAUUAACCAUCCUCCUCGGAGUUUACUUCACCUCCCUUCAAGCAUAUGAAUAUUUAGAAGCAUCUUUCUCCAUCGCAGACUCAGUCUACGGGACUACCUUCUUUGUAGCAACUGGAUUCCACGGUCUUCAUGUGAUCAUUGGGACUUCAUUCCUAACAGUCUGUUUUUAUCGCCUAUUCAAAUGUCACUUCUCUAACAACCACCACUUUGGAUUUGAAGCCGCAGCUUGGUAUUGACAUUUCGUUGAUGUAGUUUGAUUAUUCCUUUAUGUUUUUAUUUACUGAUGAGGGAGAUAA
Non-coding RNA from Cherax quadricarinatus, 1637 nucleotides. The record is from RefSeq and is a predicted model, not a curated record. Lineage: Eukaryota; Metazoa; Arthropoda; Malacostraca; Decapoda; Parastacidae.